GGUGGACGGUGUGCGUGGUGUCCAUCUGCGUCUAGUGCGGUCUCCAUUCUGUGUCUUACAGGCUGUGAGACUGCUCUCAUGCCACAUUCACAGCCACAGAGCCAAUGGAGAUCAUAGUACUGGCCCAGUGACGUCUGAACGACUAUCCACCACUGGCCAGCCUCCAUAGUCUCCUACAAAC
Molecule: small nucleolar RNA, 181 nt
Filed under: Carassius auratus (goldfish)
Lineage: Eukaryota; Metazoa; Chordata; Actinopteri; Cypriniformes; Cyprinidae
Description: Small nucleolar RNA SNORA23 (ENSCARG00000014296.1)
Rfam family: Small nucleolar RNA SNORA23
About the family: The members of this family belong to the H/ACA class of snoRNAs which are thought to guide the sites of modification of uridines to pseudouridines. This family includes human snoRNA ACA23 (SNORA23) and mouse snoMBI-1.
Source: Rfam by way of RNAcentral